RNAcentral lists this long non-coding RNA (1356 nucleotides) under Sus scrofa (pig). RNAcentral's name for it is "lncRNA (ENSSSCG00065029382.1)". The record is from RNAcentral. Lineage: Eukaryota; Metazoa; Chordata; Mammalia; Artiodactyla; Suidae.
UUUUCAGUCUCGUGUGUGUUUAACUGUAUUUAAUAUAUAUUUUUGCUCUUCUCUCGUUUUCUUUACGAAUGAACCUGCCCUUCCGCCUGGCGCGCCCCAAACCUCCCCCGCAUCGCAGGCACCCGGCCGGGUGCAGGCGAGCGCACGCAGGCGGUUGAAGACGCCGGUCCUGGUGCCGCUGGGAUGCGCGGGGCCGCGGGGAGACGACGACGAGGGAGCCGGGCCUCCAGCUCAAGGUCUGCCGGAGCCACUAACCCUGUGGAUCUAACGCGCAGCCGGUGUCUCGGCUCCCCAUCUUGCCGCCACUCUGCACCGGGGUGGGUUUCUUUUCAGGAAGGCCCUUCCCGAAGGAAGUCUGAGGCUUUUGAGGACGAUUUGCCAGGGCAGGCCCUUUAAUGGAGCGAGAUGUGUGGCCCCAGCCUCAGCUCCUCAUGCUUCCAAGAGCAACACUGAGAGGUGUGGACCAGUGGGAGUGAGUGGCAGGCCCUCCAGCAGCUGUUGGGCACCUGAGCCCCCCACAAGCCCAUUCCUGAUCCUUCUCUCAUCUCAAAAUCGGGCCUGAUGGCACCUGUAUCACAUCUUGGAAGCACCAGAGACAAGAAUCACAGAGAAAGCUUAUGGCCGCACCCUGCUGCUCUGCCAAGCACCGGGCCCGAGCCAUGGCCGCAUGAAUACUCUCAUUUGAGGGCACUGAAUCCACAGGUGACGUUCACAUCCAUGCGGGCAAGCCAGACAAUUAAGCGUCGCCCUGAGACACACCCCUUUCCUUCGGCAGCCACCUCCAUGGGGUCAGCAACCCCUGCCAAGCUUACCCCUGAACAGCCACCAGCAAAUCUACUGCUCGCUGUCUCCUGCUGUCCUGGAUCACGGCGACAGCCUCCUGGUUUGUAUGCCUUAGCCCCCUGCAGACUUAGACAUAAAUACACGUGUGUGUGUGUGUGUGUGUGUGUGUGUGUAUUUCAUUCUCUUCCAUAUUUAUUACUUCAUGAGGCAUAUGGAAUAACAUGAGGCAUAGGUAAGGCUUAAGGAUUCAAGAUCAGACCAACACUGAUGGACUCACGGUGUAAGGUCAAGGGUUGGAACAUCGAGUCUCUCUGAUCUCAACCCUCUUUCCCACAGGUAACGACGCUACUGAAUCUGGGAUUAGCCACCCUUUGUCUUCCGAGUGAGUACUCCCUGAACCAUAUGUAGUUCAAGGUGGGAAGUUAUAGUGCAUUUAUUUCUGAAAGUUGCAAUUUCCCCCUCCUAGUUGUGUCUAGAGAUUCACACACACACACACACACACACACACACACACACACACACAGGAAUAUUAUACAGCAAUAAAAAUGAAUGACAAUAAAAUUACCCUACUCA